Small nuclear RNA from Mastacembelus armatus (zig-zag eel), 115 nucleotides. Its record names the gene U5. It matches the Rfam family "U5 spliceosomal RNA". From Rfam's summary of the family: U5 RNA is a component of both types of known spliceosome. The precise function of this molecule is unknown, though it is known that the 5' loop is required for splice site selection and p220 binding, and that both the 3' stem-loop and the Sm site are important for Sm protein binding and cap methylation. The record is from Ensembl. Lineage: Eukaryota; Metazoa; Chordata; Actinopteri; Synbranchiformes; Mastacembelidae.
CGCUCUUGUUUCUCUUCAAAUCGUAUAAGUCUUUCGCCUUUUACUAAAGACUUCCGUGGAGAGGAACAGCAAGAGUAUAAGUGAAUUUUUUGAUGCCCGACUGUGUUGUGGGGCU